Triticum dicoccoides is the source of this 2744-nucleotide RNA transcript. RefSeq lists it as uncharacterized. The transcript is spliced from 2 exons. NCBI's taxonomy places the organism in Eukaryota, Viridiplantae, Streptophyta, Magnoliopsida, Poales, Poaceae. The record is from RefSeq and is a predicted model, not a curated record.
CACGGACACAGGCAUCUCCCCAGUACCUACGACCCCAACUCCCUCCAGCGCCGUCACCACCGCCCCCUCUUCUGCGACCACCACGCCGUCCGCGCCGCCCUAAAGCACGCUGCUCCUUUCCCUUCCCAAGCCGCCCUGGAUCUGGCGAUGGAGGUGGCCGCCGUCGUGGCCAUGGAGGUCUCGCUAGCUGCCUUCGAAGUCCUACAUCCCCGAUAACGGCGGGAUUGCAGCCGCCUGGCCAAGGUCGUCGGCCCUCGACGAGCUCCUCCAUAACUUCUGGUUCCCCACAGUGCCUAUGGGCCGCCUCUCCCUCUCCAUCCUACGCUCCUCCUUCUCCACUUCAGAUUUCGGCUGAAAAUCGCCUCUCCCUAUUCCCCUUCCAAUCUGGAGCACAGGCGGAGAGCCUGGUUGUGUGCGGCGGAGAUGGCGCCCCGCCUCUGCGCCUCAUAAGGCUGGACGUAGCUCCGCCGAGGCCAUGACUUUUCCAGCGGAGGAUCACAGGUGUACUGCAUGCAGUUUCAAUUUAACCAGGCAGUUGCCAUCAUCGUGAGACUUGCCAACUUGAGGAACUACAACGAUUCUUUGUUCCAGCCAUAUCCGAUCCACUGGGCCGGAGCUUUCACAUCACCUACAACGCACGGUGCUCGCGGCGCGCCGUUGGCGCCAGCCUCAUUGCCGCACUCCCGGAACCCCUCAAGCAGCUCAUGCUCGUUCGGUCAUGCAGGACGGCGCUGUAGCACUAUCGUUGGAUGUGAAUCGCUUCAAAACCGGAAGCAGCAUGCGCGCUGAUGUGGCGUGUUUCCUCCUUUGCUACACUCUGAUUGACUGAUGGUUAGAUGGUUGAUGUUGCAGUCUGAUGAGGCCUAGCGGGUGUGGCUUCUGCUGAAAUUUUUUACACCAGCAGCUCCUGGUGAGUUUGAUCCCCUGAGUCAUUAUAGAGGAAGUGAGAAUGUCAGAAAGGAGAAGAAGAAAAAACCUUGCUGCCGGGGAUGACAUCCACACCAUUUUGUGUGUGUUGGUGGAGUGAUUGAACCAUGGCAAUCAGAGCUGACAUCACAUCUCCCUUCCUCAUACACACUUUUUGGGUAGUUGUGCAUCUAUAUUCCAUUCUACACACCAAGAAAUUAUGUUAUUUUUCUUUUACUGAAGCAGUUACGAUUUAGUAGUACAUUGUUAUCAUUCUCAACAAAUUCAUACAUGACACCUUUGAUAAGGAAGAACUUUCAGCGAUUGAGUUACUUUAUUCAACUUUAUGUUUUUCAGGAGGGGAGUCCGGGAGGUGGGACAGCCGGCAGCGGCGCCAUUCUGUUUGGGGAUGCUUGGAUCUGGUGAUGCUGGAGCAUGGGAACGGGAAACAUCACCUCAGCUAUGGAAUUUCAAAUAGCCAAUUUACCUUUCUCCCUCAAGAUUUCUUACACUUCUGUCAGUAUCAUUGCUCUUGGGGUCUAGAUUUUGUCAAUAUCAAAAUCUGGGUACUUACCAGCAAACGGUUUGUUGAUCUAUUUACUUAGUCAAGUUCAUUUCUGCUAUGUUCUUCAGUCAAGCUUUAGAUUCUAGCCUUGAUUAAAUAGCAAUGAUGUUGUCCAAAACCUGCUAAUGUCGGAAAUCCUACUGCCCAGCAGGAUUUCUAGAAUUCUGGUGCAUCUGGUUUCUAUAACAUGGUUUGCCAACCGUGGUGAGCACUGCUCAGUGUGUGGCAGCUUUUCAUUAGGAUUGGAAACAAGAUUUGAGAUAUAGGUGUAGGUCAAAUUUUGCAAAAAUUAUGGGUCUGUAGGUACAAAGUUACAUGUAGGAAAUUUUACAAUUUUCUGAGAGUAAAAAUUCAAGCAUGAAUUUGAAUAUAGUUGCAUGAUUUUUUUGCUGACAAGUUUUCUUAUAUUUACUUCUCUUUCUAUGGUAUAGGAAUUUAUGUGCCUACUUAACUGUUCAAAGAUAUCCGUUUUGUUUGUCGAUUCGAAGUUACCACAUAUAAGCUUGAGUCCAUGUGAACUGACACACAGUUUGGAACAAAAUAAAACUUAAUACUGUAGUACAGUUUGGUGGUUAAACUACUCCUUACCUCGACAUUCUAAUAAUUUGUAAUAAUGAUAGUUGGCAUUGGUCAUCAAGACCGCUUGCAUGAAAUUAGUGGCUUGCUGCUGUUGUACUCUUCAAAAAUUCUGUUGCUUCAGUUUAUUUUACAUUUUUUAAUUUACUGUUUUUUUCGAAACAGAAGUACUAGAGAAUAUUAUUCUACAUUAUUUUCAACCGCUACAUUUUAUCUAUUUGCGGUAUGACUGUAUGGUUCUCAAUCAAAGAAGAGGCCCAACAGUCUCUUUCGGGACUUUUUAUCACCACAUAUAUAAUCUUAUUGAACUAGGAGUCGAGAACUACAAUUCCCCAAAAGAUCAUAUAUGCUUGAUGUGUGUGAACAUAUUGCAGGGAGGCGGUUCCAAUGAUGGCUCGGUUCCUGCACAGCUUCACUAAGAGGCAUAUGCUGUAUGAGAUGUUGUAUUCUCACUUCUUAGACUGUCUGUAAUCUGAUUUGCUCGCUAGGUGCUUGAUAAAAUGCCCAUCCGAGCAAACAAUUUGUUCUGUGCUACCUGAGAGAUGCAAGUUGGAUGUGGAGGACAAUCAUGUACAGCCCUUAGGUUCUAUGGUUAAUCUGCUUAACCUGGGAGGUGGUCAUCAAGUUUGAGAUGGAAAGUGUAGGUGCUAUGUACUGUUUUCAAUGAACCAAUAAAAUGCAUUGGCUAUUUUCUACU